Molecule: ribosomal RNA, 479 nt
Filed under: uncultured bacterium
Lineage: Bacteria
Description: bacterial SSU rRNA
Rfam family: Bacterial small subunit ribosomal RNA
Source: RNAcentral
GAUGAACGCUGGCGGCGUGCCUAACACAUGCAAGUCGAACGAAGCGCUUUGAAGUUUUCGGACAGAUGAGUGACUGAGUGGCGGACGGGUGAGUAACGCGUGGGUAACCUGCCUCAUACAGGGGGAUAACAGUUAGAAAUGACUGCUAAUACCGCAUAAGCGCACAGUACCGCAUGGUACAGUGUGAAAAACUCCGGUGGUAUGAGAUGGACCUGCGUCUGAUUAGCUAGUUGGUGAGGUAACGGCCCACCAAGGCGACGAUCAGUAGCCGACCUGAGAGGGUGACCGGCACAUUGGGACUGAGACACGGGCCCAAACUCCUACGGGAGCAGCAGUGGGGAAUAUUGCACAAUGGGGGAAACCCUGAUGCAGCGACGCCGCGUGAGUGAAGAAGUAUUUCGGUAUGUAAAGCUCUAUCAGCAGGGAGAAAAUGACGGUACCUGACUAAGAAGCCCCGGNUAACUACGUGCCAGCAGCCG